AGGAGCCUGGAUGACAGUGAAAAGAGUACAGAAACUCACAAAGGAAGCUGUGAGGCAGUACUGUUUCAAUGCUUUAUUAACAGUUGGAAACAAACCCAACAAACUGGAGGUGAUGACAUCCCAGAAGCCCAAGAGGCAAGGGAAACAGGUUUGCAUUUUGUCCCUUUAUUGUUAUUAUUAAACGCAUCUUAGCAAAAGUAGAUUAAAAAAGAAAGGGUCAAAGCCCCAGAUGUCAGCAGGGAGGAGGGGAUUGAGGAGAGUAGCAGGACCCCCCAAUCAUAGUCCUCCCAGCACUAGCUCAGGGGGGCUGCUGGUGCCCCUUUGGAGACAGGCUCUAGCAACCAGAACCCUUCUGCCCAGCCUCAAGGCCUCCCUGGGGGUGCCUGAGGUCUCCUAAGCUCCCCUUGCUCUAAGAACUAUACUUUGGGGCCAGGCUUUUCCAGUGCCAUUCUCACCCCCUACCUGGGAGUGGGAAGCUGAGAGGAGCACAGAAGGGCAAAGUGUUACCUUUAGCCAGAGGAUCUGAGCUUCCUGUGGCUGUGGCCACUGAGGCAUGUGGCCUUCCCACUGCUGAAGAGAGAACAGGGUGGGGCGUCCCUGGGCCCACUUCUCCAGAGCGUCCAGUUAGCAUCUGCACAUUUGGCUUGAUAAAUAUAUUAAAUUUAUAAAAAUUCUUUGUUGUUUGAGAGCUCCUAUUACGCUUAGGCCUGGUCCAGCUCAAUCAGAGAAGAGCCGCCUCUGGCCCCCAAGUCAGAUGUUGGGGGUAAGAGUCUGCACUGGCCUCGAGGGCCCAGAGGCUUGAGGGCUGAGUGGAGGUCCAGAGGGGUUGCUCAGAAUUGAGGCUUGUGGUGAGAAAUCCCAGGGACUCUGGAACCUGGCAUCAAAGCCUCUUAUAUNNNNGGAGGGGAAAGGAGGAAGGGUUAUUUUUCUUAAAAAAAAAAAAAAAAAUUCAUAUAAAAAUAGAUCCAUUUGCAAAACAAUUUCUCAACCAGGAGGCUCCACCUCCCCUUUCCUUGGAGACAGAGGGUAAGGUGUGGGGAUGGUCACAGGACAGCCCACACUUUCAGAUGAGACCAAAGCUCUGGGGAGGGCGUGAGGAGGAGGGCCUGUGGCUCAGCCGGGGGCUGGUACUGGAGGAGGGUCGAGAGAGGCCAGGGCAGGCUCUGUCCCACCCUGCCUGCCCACCCCCAGGCCCUGGCCUAGGCCACAGCAGGACAGGUCAACGUGGUCU
RNAcentral lists this long non-coding RNA (1231 nucleotides) under Capra hircus (goat). RNAcentral's name for it is "lncRNA (ENSCHIG00010008255.1)". The record is from RNAcentral. Lineage: Eukaryota; Metazoa; Chordata; Mammalia; Artiodactyla; Bovidae.